Long non-coding RNA from Gossypium raimondii (Peruvian cotton), 186 nucleotides. RefSeq lists it as uncharacterized. The transcript has 4 exons. The record is from RefSeq and is a predicted model, not a curated record. Lineage: Eukaryota; Viridiplantae; Streptophyta; Magnoliopsida; Malvales; Malvaceae.
UAGGUAUGACUACAGAGUUUGGAGAAAAACGUAAUGAAGAACCAAAAGGCAAGACUACAGGUUCGGAAGAAAAAUGUAAUGAGGAACCGAAAGGUACAACUACAAGUUCGGAAGGAAAACGCAUACGAAGAACAAAAAGGUACGACUAUAGGUUCGGAAGAAAACGUAAUCAACAACUAAAAGGUA